RNAcentral lists this ribosomal RNA (253 nucleotides) under uncultured prokaryote. Its description in RNAcentral is "partial 16S ribosomal RNA". It matches the Rfam family "Bacterial small subunit ribosomal RNA", at positions 525 to 777 of the family's 1533-position model. The record is from RNAcentral.
ACAGAGGGUGCGAGCGUUAAUCGGAAUUACUGGGCGUAAAGCGCACGUAGGCGGCUUGGUAUGUCGGGUGUGAAAUCCCCAGGCUCAACUUGGGAACUGCAUCCGAUACUGGAUGGCUUGAAUCCGGGAGAGGGAUGCAGAAUUCCAGGUGUAGCGGUGAAAUGCGUAGAUAUCUGGAGGAAUACCGGUGGCGAAGGCGGCGACCUGGGCCAAUAUUGACGCUGAGGUGCGAAAGCGUGGGGAGCAAACAGGA